This 597-nucleotide ribosomal RNA is filed under the name Ochromonas sp. CCMP1393. RNAcentral describes it as "partial Bacterial large subunit ribosomal RNA". It matches the Rfam family "Bacterial large subunit ribosomal RNA", at positions 702 to 1299 of the family's 2925-position model. Lineage: Eukaryota; Chrysophyceae; Chromulinales; Chromulinaceae. The record is from RNAcentral.
CGAGGGAUCAGACCCGAAACCGAGUGAUCUAGGCAUGUCCAGGAUGAAGGUAAGGUAACACUUACUGGAGGUCCGAACCCACAUCUGUUGAAAAAGAUCGGGAUGAGGUGUGCCUAGGGGUGAAAGGCCAAUCAAACUCGGAGAUAGCUGGUUCUCUGCGAAAUCUAUUUAGGUAGAGCGUCGUCUGAAUACCCUCGGGGGUAGAGCACUGAAUGGGUAAUGGGGGCCCACAGCCUUACUGAUCCUAAUCAAACUCCGAAUACCGAGGAGUACUAGACGGCAGACACACAGCGGGUGCUAACGUCCGUCGUGGAGAGGGAAACAACCCUGACCUACAGCUAAGGCCCCUAAUUCAUGGCUAAGUGGGAAAGCAGGUGGGACGACCAAAACAACCAGGAUGUUGGCUUAGAAGCAGCCAUCAUUUAAAGAAAGCGUAAUAGCUCACUGGUCGAGUCGGUCCGCGCGGAAGAUGUAACGGGGCUAAGCGAUGUACCGAAGCUGCGGGUGCAUAGCAAUAUGCGCGGUAGAGGAGCGUUCCGUAAGCCUGCGAAGGUGACUCGUAAGGGUUGCUGGAGGUAUCGGAAGUGCGAAUGCUGA